RNAcentral lists this ribosomal RNA (460 nucleotides) under uncultured bacterium. Its description in RNAcentral is "partial 16S ribosomal RNA". It matches the Rfam family "Bacterial small subunit ribosomal RNA", at positions 338 to 795 of the family's 1533-position model. The record is from RNAcentral.
CCUACGGGAGGCUGCAGUGAGGAAUAUUGGUCAAUGGACGAGAGUCUGAACCAGCCAAGUAGCGUGAAGGAUGACUGCCCUAUGGGUUGUAAACUUCUUUUAUAUGGGAAUAAAAUGUUCCACGUGUGGGAUUUUGUAUGUACCAUAUGAAUAAGGAUCGGCUAACUCCGUGCCAGCAGCCGCGGUAAUACGGAGGAUCCGAGCGUUAUCCGGAUUUAUUGGGUUUAAAGGGAGCGUAGGUGGAUUGUUAAGUCAGUUGUGAAAGUUUGCGGCGCAACCGUAAAAUUGCAGUUGAAACUGGCAGUCUUGAGUACAGUAGAGGUGGGCGGAAUUCGUGGUGUAGCGGUGAAAUGCUUAGAUAUCACGAAGAACUCCGAUUGCGAAGGCAGUUCACUGGACUGCAACUGACACUGAGGCUCGAAAGUGUGGGUAUCAAACAGGAUUAGAUACCCUAGUAGUC